Molecule: ribosomal RNA, 500 nt
Filed under: uncultured bacterium
Lineage: Bacteria
Description: partial 16S ribosomal RNA
Rfam family: Bacterial small subunit ribosomal RNA
Source: RNAcentral
AUUGAACGCUGGCGGCAUGCCUUACACAUGCAAGUCGAACGGCAGCACGGGAGCAAUCCUGGUGGCGAGUGGCGAACGGGUGAGUAAUGUAUCGGAACGUGCCCAGUCGUGGGGGAUAACGUAGCGAAAGCUACGCUAAUACCGCAUACGACCUGUGGAUGAAAGCGGGGGACCGGCAGGCCUCGCGCGGCUGCAGCGGCAGAUAUCAGAUUAGGUAGUUGGUGGGGUAAAGGCCUACCAAUCCGACGAUCUGUAGCUGGUCUGAGAGGACGACCAGCCACACUGGGACUGAGACACGGCCCAGACUCCUACGGGAGGCAGCAGUGGGGAAUUUUGGACAAUGGGCGCAAGCCUGAUCCAGCAAUGCCGCGUGCAGGAUGAAGGCCUUCGGGUUGUAAACUGCUUUUGUACGGAGCGAAAAGGCUCUCUCUAAUACAGGGGGCUCAUGACGGUACCGUAAGAAUAAGCACCGGCUAACUACGUGCCAGCAGCCGCGGUAA